This is a long non-coding RNA of Hibiscus syriacus, 575 nucleotides long. RefSeq lists it as uncharacterized. The transcript has 3 exons. The record is from RefSeq and is a predicted model, not a curated record. Lineage: Eukaryota; Viridiplantae; Streptophyta; Magnoliopsida; Malvales; Malvaceae.
CAAGGGAUUGCGGGUGGAAAAGGUGCGGUUGUAGAGAGAAGAGAGGGCUCCGUUCUCUCUUUUCACCGCUAUUCUCGACUCAUCUCUAACACCAUCAAUUUCUCCCAGGAAUUUUUAUCAUUUUUUUUACAUUUCCUUCUCUAUCUUCAAGCUUUUUUUUUUGCUGUUAAUGCCAUAUAUUGUCAUUUAUGACAUGGGAUUUUUGUUGUUGUGAUUUUAUUUAAUUUUUUUUAUCGAAUUCCUGGUAGAUUCAUUGUGUUCUCGUCUGUUCAAGCGUCAUGGCUUCGAAGCGGAUUUUGAAGGAACUCAAGGAUCUGCAGAAGGAUCCACCCACUUCUUGCAGUGCAGGUCCUGAAGCAGAAGACAUGUUUCAUUGGCAAGCAACAAUUAUGGGGCCCUCCGAUAGCCCUUAUGCAGGAGGGGUAUUUUUGGUUAAUAUUCAUGUUCAUCCGGACUAUCCUUUCAAGCCUCCUAAGGUCGCGUUUAAGACCUAGGCCUUCCAUCCAAACAUCAACAGAAAUGGGAGCAUUUGCCUUGAUAUCCUAAAAGAACAAUGGAGCCCUGCAUUAACCAUU